RNAcentral lists this long non-coding RNA (695 nucleotides) under Homo sapiens (human). Its description in RNAcentral is "HSALNT0376683". Lineage: Eukaryota; Metazoa; Chordata; Mammalia; Primates; Hominidae. The record is from RNAcentral.
GCGCUGGCUCGCAAGCGCAGCGCGCAGCCCGGGUUCCCGCCUGCGCCUCUCCCUCCACACCUCCCGGCAAGCUGUGGGAGCCGGCUCCGGCCUUGGCCAGCCCAGAAAGGGGAUCCUACAGUGCAGCGGGGGGCUGAAGGGCUCCUCAAGCGCGGCCAGAGUGGGCGCCAAGGCCGAGGAGGCGCCGAGAGCGAGUGAGGGCUGCUAGGGCCGCCAGCAUGCUGUCACCUCUCAUAAUGGGUUUCUGGACAGUGUUGUUAACAAUUCAUGGCGUGUGUUUCUGUGUCGGAGGCAGGAGGGAGCUGAAAAGAUGCAGUUUUAUCUCCAAAGGAAAGAUGGAUGUUGAAUAAAUGGAUAAAUGGUGCCUAAACUGUGACAACAUCACAUUGUUCCAAAUCACUCCAACUGUGUGGGAUCUGAGCACACCCGGUAAGUGCUCCAGCCCCACAACAAUACUUUGUCAUCUGCCUCCUGCUACCCCACCCGCACCUAUCUGGCAUGUUCUUUCCUUAAGUAUCAACAUAGUUGUUUUCUUCCCUCCUUUAGAUGUUUACUAAAUGUCAUCUUCUCAGCGAGGCUUCCGAGGCUUCCUCGCUAUCCUUUCUAAAAUUGCACCUAUUCCUUCCACCUCACACUCUUUCCCCACUUCUCUUCUCCAGUGCUUGUCACUCUUAAUCUUGUUUACAUUGGUCUUC